AGUCGAGCGCACUCCUUUGGAGUGAGCGGCAAACGGGUGAGUAACGCGUGGGAAUCUACCCAUCUCUACGGAAUAACACAGAGAAAUUUGUGCUAAUACCGUAUACGUCCCUUCGGGGAGAAAGAUUUAUCGGAGAUAGAUGAGCCCGCGUUGGAUUAGCUAGUUGGUGAGGUAACGGCUCACCAAGGCGACGAUCCAUAGCUGGUCUGAGAGGAUGAUCAGCCACACUGGGACUGAGACACGGCCCAGACUCCUACGGGAGGCAGCAGUGGGGAAUAUUGGACAAUGGGGGCAACCCUGAUCCAGCCAUGCCGCGUGAGUGAUGAAGGCCCUAGGGUUGUAAAGCUCUUUCA
RNAcentral lists this ribosomal RNA (353 nucleotides) under Bartonella sp. P643. RNAcentral's name for it is "bacterial SSU rRNA". It matches the Rfam family "Bacterial small subunit ribosomal RNA", at positions 60 to 438 of the family's 1533-position model. The record is from RNAcentral. Lineage: Bacteria; Pseudomonadati; Pseudomonadota; Alphaproteobacteria; Hyphomicrobiales; Bartonellaceae.